This 336-nucleotide unclassified non-coding RNA is filed under the name soil metagenome. Its description in RNAcentral is "partial contains 5.8S ribosomal RNA, internal transcribed spacer 2, and large subunit ribosomal RNA". The stretch from base 1 to 120 matches the Rfam family "5.8S ribosomal RNA", at positions 35 to 154 of the family's 154-position model. The record is from RNAcentral.
GAUGAAGAACGUAGCGAAAUGCGAUAAGUAGUGUGAAUUGCAGAAUUCAGUGAAUCAUCGAAUCUUUGAACGCACAUUGCGCCCCUUGGUAUUCCAUGGGGCAUGCCUGUUCGAGCGUCAUUUGUACCUUCAAGCUUUGCUUGGUGUUGGGUGUUUGUCUCGCCUUUGCGUGUAGACUCGCCUUAAAAUAAUUGGCAGCCGGCGUAUUGAUUUCGGAGCGCAGUACAUCUCGCGCUUUGCACUCAUAACGACAGCGUCCAAAAGUACAUUCUACACUCUUGACCUCGGAUCAGGUAGGGAUACCCGCUGAACUUAAGCAUAUCAAUAAGCGGAGGA